CUUGCAGGCAGACGACACCACUUAGUGGACGCGAUUUCUUCCCUGGUCCCACUGCCUGGUGCGUGCAGAGAAACUACUCCCAAGUGGGAAGUGAGUGGCUUGUUGAGGCUUGGGACAAAGCUCAGGGGUGUCCCAGGUGAACCCCCUUCUCUAAAACAAGCAGGUCCCUCCCUGCUCCGACACUGAAAUGACAUCACAGGGCACUGAGGACGUGGGGCCCGUCCCCGGCUGCUGCAGUGCAGUGCCACCUGCAGGCCGUGUGGCCUGAGCAGGCUGUGUCAUCUCCAGGCCUGCAGUCUCUCGUCUGUAGGAAGAGGAUGAUCAGUAGCCCAGCCUUGGAGCAGGGCCUAUGACCAUGUCUGAUGUUCAGGGAAUGAAGGAGUGAAGAAAGCAGGAAUGAACGAAGGAAGGAAGCAGCUCCAGCAAUUGGUUCCCAGGCAAGAAGCUGGUGGGGUUCUGACUUCUAUCCCGAUUCACACCCUUUCCUCCUGCCCUCAGGGCAGUCCUUCUCCUGCUCUUGUUCAUUCAUCCCCUUCAGCCCUUUCUUAUUCUCUUCUGUAGCCGAACCACAAAAAAUAAAUACAUUAGAAAUGUUUUCCGAGCUCA
RNAcentral lists this long non-coding RNA (606 nucleotides) under Homo sapiens (human). Its description in RNAcentral is "uncharacterized LOC102723708, transcript variant 3 (LOC102723708)". The record is from RNAcentral. Lineage: Eukaryota; Metazoa; Chordata; Mammalia; Primates; Hominidae.